RNAcentral lists this non-coding RNA (30 nucleotides) under Rattus norvegicus (Norway rat). The record is from RNAcentral. Lineage: Eukaryota; Metazoa; Chordata; Mammalia; Rodentia; Muridae.
UUAUCUCCUUUUGUGUGUGACUAAUUCCUU